AAAGACCCCGUGAACCUUUACUAUAGCUUGACACUGAACAUUGAGCCUUGAUGUGUAGGAUAGGUGGGAGGCUUUGAAGUGUGGACGCCAGUCUGCAUGGAGCCGACCUUGAAAUACCACCCUUUAAUGUUUGAUGUUCUAACGUGGACCCGUAAUCCGGGUUGCGGACAGUGUCUGGUGGGUAGUUUGACUGGGGCGGUCUCCUCCUAAAGAGUAACGGAGGAGCACGAAGGUUGGCUAAUCCUGGUCGGACAUCAGGAGGUUAGUGCAAUGGCAUAAGCCAGCUUGACUGCGAGCGUGACGGCGCGAGCAGGUGCGAAAGCAGGUCAUAGUGAUCCGGUGGUUCUGAAUGGAAGGGCCAUCGCUCAACGGAUAAAAGGUACUCCGGGGAUAACAGGCUGAUACCGCCCAAGAGUUCAUAUCGACGGCGGUGUUUGGCACCUCGAUGUCGGCUCAUCACAUCCUGGGGCUGAAGUAGGUCCCAAGGGUAUGGCUGUUCGCCAUUUAAAGUGGUACGCGAGCUGGGUUUAGAACGUCGUGAGACAGUUCGGUCCCUAUCUGCCGUGGGCGCUGGAGAACUGAGGGGGGCUGCUCCUAGUACGAGAGGACCGGAGUGGACGCAUCACUGGUGUUCGGGUUGUCAUGCCAAUGGCACUGCCCGGUAGCUAAAUGCGGAAGAGAUAAGUGCUGAAAGCAUCUAAGCACGAAACUUGCCCCGAGAUGAGUUCUCCCUGAGACUUAGA
Molecule: ribosomal RNA, 743 nt
Filed under: Salmonella enterica subsp. enterica serovar Newport
Lineage: Bacteria; Pseudomonadati; Pseudomonadota; Gammaproteobacteria; Enterobacterales; Enterobacteriaceae
Description: partial 23S ribosomal RNA
Rfam family: Bacterial large subunit ribosomal RNA
Source: RNAcentral